This 374-nucleotide ribosomal RNA is filed under the name uncultured bacterium. RNAcentral describes it as "bacterial SSU rRNA". It matches the Rfam family "Bacterial small subunit ribosomal RNA", at positions 29 to 404 of the family's 1533-position model. The record is from RNAcentral.
AUUGAACGCUGGCGGCAUGCCUUACACAUGCAAGUCGAACGGCAGCACGGGAGCAAUCCUGGUGGCGAGUGGCGAACGGGUGAGUAAUACAUCGGAACGUGCCCAGUAGUGGGGGAUAACCCGGCGAAAGCCGGACUAAUACCGCAUACGACCUACGGGUGAAAGCAGGGGAUCGCAAGACCUUGCGCUAUCGGAGCGGCCGAUGUCAGAUUAGCUUGUUGGCGGGGUAAAAGCCCACCAAGGCGACGAUCUGUAGCUGGUCUGAGAGGACGACCAGCCACACUGGGACUGAGACACGGCCCAGACUCCUACGGGAGGCAGCAGUGGGGAAUUUUGGACAAUGGGCGCAAGCCUGAUCCAGCCAUGCCGCGUGC